Molecule: ribosomal RNA, 497 nt
Filed under: uncultured bacterium
Lineage: Bacteria
Description: partial 16S ribosomal RNA
Rfam family: Bacterial small subunit ribosomal RNA
Source: RNAcentral
GAUGAACGCUGGCGGCGUGCCUAAUACAUGCAAGUCGAGCGAACGGACGAGAAGCUUGCUUCUCUGAUGUUAGCGGCGGACGGGUGAGUAACACGUGGAUAACCUACCUAUAAGACUGGGAUAACUUCGGGAAACCGUAGCUAAUACCGGAUAAUAUUUUGAACCGCAUGGUUCAAAAGUGAAAGACGGUCUUGCUGUCACUUAUAGAUGGAUCCGCGCUGCAUUAGCUAGUUGGUAAGGUAACGGCUUACCAAGGCAACGAUGCAUAGCCGACCUGAGAGGGUGAUCGGACACACUGGAACUGAGACACGGUCCAGACUCCUACGGGAGGCAGCAGUAGGGAAUCUUCCGCGAUGGGCGAAAGCCUGACGGAGCAACGCCGCGGGAGUGAUGAAGGUCUUCGGAUCGUAAAACUAUGUAAUUAGGGAAGAAGAUAUGUGUAAGUAACUGUGCACAUCUUGACGGUACCGAAUCAGAAAGCCACGGCUAACUACGUG